RNAcentral lists this ribosomal RNA (407 nucleotides) under uncultured bacterium. Its description in RNAcentral is "partial 16S ribosomal RNA". It matches the Rfam family "Bacterial small subunit ribosomal RNA", at positions 28 to 526 of the family's 1533-position model. The record is from RNAcentral.
GACGAACGCUGGCGGCGUGCCUAAUACAUGCAAGUAGGACGCAGUUGGUAACGGGUGAGUAACGCAUGGGUAACUGCCUAUUAUAGGGGGAUAACUAGUGGUAACGAUCGCUAAUACCGCAUACUAAUAGAUGGACCUGGUUUGUAUUAGCUAGUAGGUAGGGUAAUGGCCUACCUAGGCGAAGAUACAUAGCCGACCUGGGAGGGUGAUCGGCCACACUCGGACUGGGAGACGGCCCAGACUCCUACGGGAUGCAGCAGUAGGGAAUCUUCGGCAAUGGGGGGAACCCUGAACGAGCAACGCCGGGUGAGUGAACAAGGUCUUCGGAUCCUAAAGCUCUGUUGGUAAGUAAGCGGUACCUAACCAGAAAGGAACGGCUAACUACGUGCCAGCAGCCGCGGUAAUAC